GCUAAAAUAAGACUGGAACCCAGAUCACAAUAUUUGUAACCUAGUCCUUGGCAUCUUUUCUUUUCCUUUUGGAUCUGUGGGGUCCUGAAAAUAGAAGUGGCAUGGUAGGGGUUUCCCUUGACUAUCAGCCCAGCAGCUCCAAACCCAACCAGUCCCCACCUGCCCUCACUAGCACAGGUGUGUCAAGCCUCCGCCCUUCCUCCCGCCUUGAUGACAGAUAAAUCUUGUUUAGCUGAUGAGAUGUCCUGCACUGAGGCAGAGCACACCAGACAGUCCAUCCACAGCCACAAUCUACAAAGCCGCUUCCCGAAUUUCUAUCCCCCACCCCCCCGACCUAGUGCACCGUGGGAUGCCGAGGGCCUGUGGGCCGGAGGGGACUCUGCCAGGCAAGCCCUGGGGGAGGUCUCUGAAUGCCCGGACACCUUCAGGGCUGCUCAGGCGACCCUGCCUUCAGCCCACCCCGGGCCUGCCUCACCCACAGGGAGCGCCCAGGUGAAGAAGUUGCUUCGGUCCACGUCGAAGGCCACCAUGACCACCGCGGGACCGGGAGCGGAGGAAAGGACCUCACGUGGCCCAGGGUGAGCCCCAUCCGGGCCAGGAGCAGGAGCAGAAAUAAUACAUCUGACAUUUUCCCACAUCCGUAUGGGAUAUGGAUGAUCACACUGUUGUCCUCAUCGUUAUCUUCCAUGCCUUCACUGUUUCCCUGUUGUGUUUAUGAGCAUAUGGACUUAUCUGUUGAUGGACCACUAGCUGUUGUUUGUAAGUUUUAUUUGGUUUUGCUUUUGUAUCUUUGCUUAUGUAUCCCAUAAUCUCCUCAGGACAAAUUAAUGGAAGCAGAAUUGUUGGGACAAAGAGAAUGCAGUUACUGUUAUUGAUGGCACAUAUGAAUUCACUCAUUUAAAUAGGCUUUUUUGUUGUGAGGAAAAGAAAAGUUUAUUCCAAUAAACAAGGACUAAAAUCAGGGAGAUUCUAGCAGCUAGCUGGGAAAAGUUGAGUUUAUUACAUCAAAUAGCAGCAGCAAGCUGGGAGAGAUUUUUUCCUUGAGUGGAUGGGCUAACACUAGGAGAGAGAUAUUAGCAGCUAACUGGGAAAGGAAUUAGGCUUAUAUAGGUAUUGAAGGGGCUCAGGAAUCUGGGGUAAAAUGUUCAUGAUGGGGUCAAUGACAGUCUG
RNAcentral lists this long non-coding RNA (1170 nucleotides) under Heterocephalus glaber (naked mole-rat). RNAcentral describes it as "lncRNA (ENSHGLG00000042972.1)". Lineage: Eukaryota; Metazoa; Chordata; Mammalia; Rodentia; Bathyergidae. The record is from RNAcentral.